UGGGGAUUAAUUUACAUAUUUAAUCCAAUGAUUAAUUCCAUAUGAUCAUCUAUCAAGUCAAAAUAAUGGUGCAAAUUAUUCGUCAUCUGCGCAGACAAAGAUUCUACAUAUUGUUUAUACAUAUAUAAAUCAUUAUAUAAGACAGGAAACCUGAAAUAAAUAAUUAAGACGAAAAAGUAAAAAAGGUGACAUGCAUACGUGGAAAGAAAGAGAGUUGUUGUUUUAAAUUUAAACAAUUAGAUUAAUAAUUAACAAAAACAGACUAAUUAACAUAAUUUAGAAGUAGUCCUCAGUCCUUCCCUUG
RNAcentral lists this unclassified non-coding RNA (304 nucleotides) under Hevea brasiliensis (rubber tree). Lineage: Eukaryota; Viridiplantae; Streptophyta; Magnoliopsida; Malpighiales; Euphorbiaceae. The record is from RNAcentral.